This 467-nucleotide ribosomal RNA is filed under the name uncultured bacterium. Its description in RNAcentral is "partial 16S ribosomal RNA". It matches the Rfam family "Bacterial small subunit ribosomal RNA", at positions 29 to 507 of the family's 1533-position model. The record is from RNAcentral.
ACGAACGCUGGCGGCGUGCUUAACACAUGCAAGUCGUACGGAAAGGCCCUGCUUUUGUGGGGUGCUCGAGUGGCGAACGGGUGAUUAACACGUGAGUAACCUGCCCUUGACUUUGGGAUAACUUCAGGAAACUGGGGCUAAUACCGGAUAGGAGCUCCUGCUGCUUGGUGGGGUUUGGAAAGCUUCGGCGGUUGGGGAUGGACUCGCGGCUUAUCAGCUUGUUGGUGGGGUAGUGGCUUACCAAGUCUUUGACGGGUAGCCGGCCUGAGAGGGUGACCGGCCACAUUGGGACUGAGAUACGGCCCAGACUCCUACGGGAGGCAGCAGUGGGGAAUAUUGCACAAUGGGCGGAAGCCUGAUGCAGCAACGCCGCGUGCGGGAUGACGGCCUUCGGGUUGUAAACCGCUUUCGCCUGUGACGAAGCGUGAGUGACGGUAAUGGGUAAAGAAGCACCGGCUAACUACGUG